Hypanus sabinus (Atlantic stingray) is the source of this 2356-nucleotide long non-coding RNA. RefSeq lists it as uncharacterized. The transcript is spliced from 4 exons. Lineage: Eukaryota; Metazoa; Chordata; Chondrichthyes; Myliobatiformes; Dasyatidae. The record is from RefSeq and is a predicted model, not a curated record.
CAUAUCCACUCGUCAAUGGUAGGCGGGACAAUAAAGGAAAAGUUCUUCGCUUCUCAGAGUAUCACAAAUUUUAACGGGUUUUGUUAACUUACAUUAUCAGAUUUGACACUAGCUGAACAAAUUACCUUUCUGGACAAAAUUAAAAGCCACCCACCUAAGCCCACUGAUCGUCAGCAGGCAGAGAUAACUAGAGUGCCGAAAUCUACAACUGCACGCUUGAUACAUCAGCAAGAUAAUUUACGAGAAGAAUGGGCAUUAUGUGAGGGACAACAGGGGAUGUCCCAAAAAUGAAAGUGUGAAGGGUGGAUGAGGUGAUGUCAUGAAGUGGUUGAAGUGUUCCAUCAUCUAGCAACCCUGUGAUCUCUGUCUUGGAGGCCACUGUCAGAACAUCUUUCAAGAGGGAGAACACUCACAAGCUGGCAAGGCAUUGAAAACAUGUGCCAACCAACUGGCUGGAACGUUCAAGGACAUCUUCAGUUUCUCACUGCUGCUUCCAAAGGGCAGCAGUCGUUUCAGCUUCAACAGCUAUUGACUGUAGCACUCACAUCUACCAUAAUGUGGUGCUUUGAUAGGUUGGUCGUAGUUGAAAUUAAUUCCUGCCUGAACAAGGACCUGCUGCAAUUUGCCUACAGCAGACACAAUGUCACUGGCUUUCCACUCUGCUUUGGAGUACCUAGACACCAACAAAACGAAUGUCAGAUUGCUGUUUAUCAAUUACAACUCAGUGUUCAAUACCAUCACCCCCUCAGUUUUUACAUCUAGGCCUUAUUACCUCCCUCGGCAACUGGAUCCUUAAUUUCCUUAUCAGGAGACCACAGUAAGUACAGAUCAGUAAUAACAUCUCCUCCUCAUUGACAAUCAAUAUACAGUAGAUGAACCUCAGGGACGUGUGCUCAGACCACUGCUAUACUCUCACUACACUCAUGACUGUGUGUCUAAGCACAGCUCAAACAGCAUCUAUAAGUUUGCAGAUGUCACCACUGGUGUUGGUAAAAUCUCAGAUGAUGAGUGUGAUAGGAGUGUGAUAGAUCGGCUGGUUGAGUGACGUCGCAACAACAACUUUGCACUCAACAUCAGCAAGACCACGGAGUUGAUUGUGGACUUCAGGAAGAGGAAAUCAGGGGAACAUGCAACAGUCCUCAUUGAAGGGUCACCGGUGGAAAGGAUGAGCACCUUCAAGAUUCUAGGUGUUAACAUCUCUGAAGAUCUGUCCUGGGCUCAACAUAUUGAUGCAUUCAGGAAGAAGGCACACCAGCAGCUUUACUUAGGAGUAUGAGGAAUUUGGUAUGUCACUAAGCAAGCUUGCAAGUUUCUAUAGAUGUAAGGUGGAGUGCAUUCUGACUGCUUAUAUCGCAGCCCGAUAUGGAAGCUUCAAUGCACAGGAUCAUAAGAAGCUGCAGAGAGUUAUAGACUCAGCCAGCUCCAUCACAGAACCUGUUAUUGAUGAGAUCUUCAAAAGGCAGAGCCCCAAAGAAGACAGGGUCCAUCACUAAGAACCCACACCAUCCAGGACAUGCCUUCUUCUUGUUACUACUGUCAGGGAAGAGGUACAGAAGCCUGAAGACCCACACUCAGUGGUUUAGAAGCAGCUUUCCCCCCUCUGCCAUCAGAUUUCUGAAUGGUCCAUGAACAUUACCUCAUUAUUCUUUUAUUUUGCAUUAUUUAUUUUGUAAUUUAUUGUAUUUUUUUAAGACUUUGCACUUUAUUGCUGCCACACAACAAGAAUUUCACAUCAUGUAAGACAGUGAUAGUAAACCUGAUUCUGAUUUUUGUGUAUCCUUCACUUGAUUCACCCCACCAUUGCCAGUUAAGCCUCCUGCUGUCUGGGUAAUAAGGUCUGAUUCUCUUCCCUAAUUGCUUUGAUUCUGCCUUAUUCCCUCAUAAGCUGUUUAAUACCGAAUCCUUUGGAAUUGGGCCAUGUGACUUUAUAUUUCCACCUAUAACUUGAUGUCAGUUUUUGUCUGAUAAGCAUAUCCUGUGAAGUGCUACACUUCUGCUACAUUAAAGAUGUUGGAUAAAUGCAGGUUGUUACUCUCUAUGAGUCUUAAGUCUCCCUCUCUUAUAUGUUUGGAUUCUGAUGGUAUAAGUAUCUGCAGAUGUCAGUAAAUCAUAAGGUAGCUUAGUCUCCCGUCACUUUAACCUAGGGAACAGCUGAUAAUGGAUUACAAUAUCUUCAUAUUAUUUCCAAAUGCUUUUGGAAGUGUUGUACCUGUUUUGACUAUUAAAACCACUCCUUCCCACUCAUCUAUAUGUGACUAUUUUAAUUUUGUGAUUCAAAUGCACUUUCUGUACUGAAGCUAUGGAAAUGUUGCUGCUAUUUAUGUGUCCAUUAAUCCAGAAUUUUUUUUAUUAUAUA